This 190-nucleotide unclassified non-coding RNA is filed under the name Phytophthora cryptogea. RNAcentral describes it as "partial ITS1". Lineage: Eukaryota; Oomycota; Peronosporomycetes; Peronosporales; Peronosporaceae. The record is from RNAcentral.
AAAAAACUUUCCACGUGAACCGUAUCAACCUUUUUAAUUUGGGGGCUUCCGUCUGGCCGGCCGGUUUUCGGCUGGCUGGGUGGCGGCUCUAUCAUGGCGACCGCUUGGCCUCGGCCUGGGCUAGUAGCGUAUUUUUAAACCCAUUCCUAAUUACUGAAUAUACUGUGGGGACGAAAGUCUCUGCUUUUAA